GUUUACACGUACUUGUAUCAUUUAGCUGCCAGUUGUCGUCGGCGUGCACUUCUCCCCUAGUAGGACGUCGCGACCCGUUGGGUGUCGGUCUACGGCCCGGUUGGGAGCCUUUAAUGCCGCCUAAUAAGCGUCGCAUUGAAGACCGGCUGGUGUUCGCCUGGCCGGCUGCCCGGCGGUAUUCGCACGGUAUUGAGCCGCAAAUAAAUAUUAUUUACGUCUGGCCCGCCGCAAGCGAGGCCAGGUUGUCAUUAUUAUAUCCCGGUAGUCACGGACCUUAGUGCCGUCGCUGGGCCUGGCCAGCUGUUAGCUGUUCGCGGUGUUCUCGGACUGGCUCAUUAAUUAUUAUUUACCGGUCGGCGACGCUACUGCUUUGGGUAUCAGGACCCGUCUUGAAACACGGACCAAGGAGUCUAACAUGUGCGCGAGUCAUUGGGAUUUAUUUUUUUAAAAUUAAACCUAAAGGCGCAAUGAAAGUGAAGGUCGUCCUCGCGUCGACCGAGGGCAGAUGGGCCGUAUUACGAUGCGGCUCCGCACUCCCGGGGCGUCUCG
Molecule: ribosomal RNA, 549 nt
Filed under: Cercobarcon rieki
Lineage: Eukaryota; Metazoa; Arthropoda; Insecta; Hymenoptera; Trachypetidae
Description: partial 28S ribosomal RNA
Source: RNAcentral